This 535-nucleotide ribosomal RNA is filed under the name Burkholderia sp. UPC-BI05. Its description in RNAcentral is "bacterial SSU rRNA". It matches the Rfam family "Bacterial small subunit ribosomal RNA", at positions 132 to 635 of the family's 1533-position model. The record is from RNAcentral. Lineage: Bacteria; Pseudomonadati; Pseudomonadota; Betaproteobacteria; Burkholderiales; Burkholderiaceae.
UGUAGUGGGGGAUAGCCCGGCGAAGAGCCGGAUUAAUACCGCAGUACGAUCUACGCGAUGAAAGCGGGGGCACCUUCGGGCGCUCGCGCUAGUAGGGCUUGGCCGACUGYGACUAGAUUAGCUAGCUYGGUGGGGUAAAGGCCUACCAAGGCGACGAAUCAGUAGCUGGUCUGAGAGGAACGAACCAGCCACACGUGAGGACUGAGACACGGACCCAGACUCCUACGGGAGGCAGCAUGUGGGGAAUUUUGGACAAUGGGCGAAAGCCUGAUCCAGGCAAUGCCGCGUGUGUGAAGAAGGCCUUCGGGUUGUAAAGCACUUUNGUCCGGAAAGAAAUCCUUGGCUCUAAGUACAGUCGGGGGAUGACGGUACCGGAACGAAUAAGCACCGGCUAACUACGUGCCAGCAGCCGCGGUAAUACGUAGGGUGCGAGCGUUNAUCGGAAUUACUGGGCGUAAAGCGUGCGCAGGCGGUUAUUGCUAAGACCGAUGUGAAAUCCCCGGGCUCAACCUGGGUAACUCGCACUUGGUGACUG